GAUGAACGCUGGCGGCGUGCUUAACACAUGCAAGUCGAACGGAAAGGCCCAAGCUUGCUUGGGUGCUCGAGUGGCGAACGGGUGAGUAACACGUGGGUGAUCUGCCCUGCACUUUGGGAUAAGCCUGGGAAACUGGGUCUAAUACCGGAUAGGACCAUCGUUUAGUGUCGGUGGUGGAAAGUUUUUCGGUGUGGGAUGAGCUCGCGGCCUAUCAGCUUGUUGGUGGGGUAAUGGCCUACCAAGGCGUCGACGGGUAGCCGGCCUGAGAGGGUGUACGGCCACAUUGGGACCGAGAUACGGCCCAGACUCCUACGGGAGGCAGCAGUGGGGAAUAUUGCACAAUGGGCGCAAGCCUGAUGCAGCGACGCCGCGUGGGGGAUGACGGCCUUCGGGUUGUAAACUCCUUUCGCCAAGGACGAAGCGUUUUGUGACGGUACUUGGAGAAGAAGCACCGGCUAACUACGUG
This 466-nucleotide ribosomal RNA is filed under the name uncultured bacterium. Its description in RNAcentral is "partial 16S ribosomal RNA". It matches the Rfam family "Bacterial small subunit ribosomal RNA", at positions 28 to 507 of the family's 1533-position model. The record is from RNAcentral.